UUCAAAUUCGAAGUCCCACCUUUAGCGGCACUGUGACUUUUAUUUGCCGCCUUGUUCACCUAGCAAUUACACACUACAGUCUACACUCUACAGAUAAGAUUUGAAACAACUUUAGUAGUAUGUGCACCCACUUAUAUUUGGGUAACGCUGUAUAUUGAUUGAACAACAAUUAACCCAACAAAAAGAUUCUUCUCACUUCACUUCAAUCUUCCCCCAUACAUCUAUAAGAUACUUCACAAACAUAUACAUAUUGUUGCUGUGUCUUUGCUGUCUGUGAUGUGUUUGUUCGAAUGCUUCAAACAACUUCAAGUUACAUCAAAUUAUGUUUAUAUUUUCUAGGAUUGGUCUUUAGCUGUUUGCUGCGUUAUUAUGCUUGUGUUAUCCUCUUGAUCACUUUCUAUGCACUGACAUUUCCGAAUUUGAGUGCGGUGUGCAGCUAGUUUUCUAUUUGUAAUCAAGCAAUUAUUACAUGGA
This 474-nucleotide long non-coding RNA is filed under the name Daucus carota (carrot). RNAcentral describes it as "long non-coding RNA (DCAR_LNC004857)". Lineage: Eukaryota; Viridiplantae; Streptophyta; Magnoliopsida; Apiales; Apiaceae. The record is from RNAcentral.